RNAcentral lists this unclassified non-coding RNA (236 nucleotides) under Hevea brasiliensis (rubber tree). Lineage: Eukaryota; Viridiplantae; Streptophyta; Magnoliopsida; Malpighiales; Euphorbiaceae. The record is from RNAcentral.
GAGUAACUACUGUGCACUUCAGGUUGGGAGACAAGCUUAAUAAAUUGCAAUUAUCUGUAGUUUAAAGUUGUUAGUAAAUCAGCAUGGUAAGUGGUGCAACUUGAAUAUUGAUUGCAGUUUGCAGCUGGAAAAAUAUAAUUGGGGCUGUACGGUUUAAAUAUGCAAACCUCCACACCUUGAAAAAAAGGAGUUCUUUCUAUCUGAUAAACUUUUGCUAGGAGCCUGAUGGAAUUCAA